RNAcentral lists this long non-coding RNA (278 nucleotides) under Theobroma cacao (cacao). Its description in RNAcentral is "long non-coding RNA (TCAC_LNC005038)". The record is from RNAcentral. Lineage: Eukaryota; Viridiplantae; Streptophyta; Magnoliopsida; Malvales; Malvaceae.
UUAUUAUUUUAUUCUCUUUCUAUUGAUUUCUCCAGUCACAGGUACUUUCAAUAUCUCUCCAUUGGAUCAGCCAAAGAAACAAAAAGGCAACAAGGGCAAAAUUAUUAAAAUUUUGGACAGAUACGUAAAAUGGUGGUCCAAGUCCAACCAUGAUUGGUGAGUUGCCAUUGUGGAACUUCCCAAUUCCCAUUCGUCAUUCUGAGUGCAUGAUUUCACGUCAAUGACAUACGCAAUGACGCUUUUGACUUGAUGGUUUUUCACAAGAGAUUCUCUCUGGC